This 406-nucleotide ribosomal RNA is filed under the name uncultured bacterium. Its description in RNAcentral is "partial 16S ribosomal RNA". It matches the Rfam family "Bacterial small subunit ribosomal RNA", at positions 30 to 526 of the family's 1533-position model. The record is from RNAcentral.
AUUGAACGCUGGCGGCAGGCCUAACACAUGCAAGUCGAACGAGUGGCGGACGGGUGAGUAAUGUCUGGGAAACUGCCCGAUGGAGGGGGAAAACUACUGGACACGGUAGCUAAUACCGCAUACCAUCGGAUGUGCCCAGAUGGGUUUAGAUAGUAGGUGGGGUAACGGCUCACCUAGGCGACGAUCCCUAGCGGGUCUGAGAUGAUGACCAGCCACACGGGAACUGAGACACGGUCCAGACUCCUACGGGAGGCAGCAGUGGGGAAUAUUGCACAAUGGGCGCAAGCCUGAUGCAGCCAUGCCGCGUGUAUGAAGAAGGCCUUCGGGUUGUAAAGUACUUUCAGCGAGGAGGCGUUACCCGCAGAAGAAGCACCGGCUAACUCCGUGCCAGCAGCCGCGGUAAUUC